This 68-nucleotide transfer RNA is filed under the name Physemacris variolosa. RNAcentral describes it as "tRNA-Val". Lineage: Eukaryota; Metazoa; Arthropoda; Insecta; Orthoptera; Pneumoridae. The record is from RNAcentral.
CAAGACAAAUUUAUAGAUUAUUUUUCAUUUACAUUGAGGAUUUUCUCGUGCAAUUCGAGGUGUUUUGA